RNAcentral lists this ribosomal RNA (504 nucleotides) under Actinomyces sp. 'ARUP UnID 55'. RNAcentral describes it as "bacterial SSU rRNA". It matches the Rfam family "Bacterial small subunit ribosomal RNA", at positions 27 to 506 of the family's 1533-position model. The record is from RNAcentral. Lineage: Bacteria; Bacillati; Actinomycetota; Actinomycetes; Actinomycetales; Actinomycetaceae.
GGACGAACGCUGGCGGCGUGCUUAACACAUGCAAGUCGAACGGUGAAGGGGCCUGCUUUUGUGGGUCCUGGAUGAGUGGCGAACGGGUGAGUAACACGUGAGUAACCUGCCCCCUUCUUCUGGAUAACCGCAUGAAAGUGUGGCUAAUACGGGAUAUUCUGUGCCUGCUGCAUGGUGGGUGUGGGAAAGAUUGUGCCUUUGGGUGUUUUCGGUGGGGGAUGGGCUCGCGGCCUAUCAGCUUGUUGGUGGGGUGAUGGCCUACCAAGGCGGUGACGGGUAGCCGGCCUGAGAGGGUGGACGGUCACACUGGGACUGAGACACGGCCCAGACUCCUACGGGAGGCAGCAGUGGGGAAUAUUGCACAAUGGGCGCAAGCCUGAUGCAGCGACGCCGCGUGAGGGAUGGAGGCCUUCGGGUUGUGAACCUCUUUCGCCAGUGAAGCAGGCCUGUCCCUUUUGUGGGUGGGUUGACGGUAGCUGGAUAAGAAGCGCCGGCUAACUACGU